GGAUUGUCUUGGCUAUUCAGGCUCUUUUCUGAUGAUGAUAGAGUCAGUAAAUAAAUAGUUGAUAUGCAUACUGCUUAAUGAGGAAUUAUUUCCAUUUUACAUGUGUACAUGUCUCACUCUCCUACUUUGACUUUCAUAUAGCCAUUUCCUCGAUAUUUUCUGUAUUAAAAAUAGCAAAGAUACAUAUAAUAUGUUAUGUGUACCAAGAAAUUUUUAAUAGAACUUGGGCCAUGUGAGGUGGCUCACGCCUGUAAUUCUAGCACGUUGGUAGAUUGAGUUGGGUGGAUCACUUGAGAUCAGGAGUUUGAGACCAGCCUGGCCAACAUGAAAAAAAACCCAUCUCUACUAAAAAUACAAAAAGUUAGCCCAGUGUGGUGGCACACAAACCUAAGCCCAGCUACUCAGGAGGCUGAGGCAUGAGAGUCGUUUGAGCCUGGGAGAUGAACGUUGCAGGAAUUCAAGCUUGUGCCAGAGUACUCCAGCCUGGGUGACAAAGCAAGAAUCCAUUUAAAAUAAAUAAAUAAAAUAACUUUUCACAUAUUAAUUUAUUUAAAAUUCCCAACAGUACAUAAGAUACUUUUUAAAUCCCCAUUUUACAGAUAAAACAUUAAAUUUUACAAUAGUUUUUUUUAACCUGGUGAAUUAGUAUAUUUGUUAAAGAAAGAAAUAAAGAAAUCCAUAGCUGAGAGUUCUCUAAUUGUGUGUUUUGACUAUUAUGGAGUUCUUGGGACAUUCCUCUCACUGUUGUGGAUACUGAAAGAUCAACUUGUCUAUUGUCUGGCUUCUGGAGAGCAGAGACAGCUUUCUGGAACCCUGAGCUUGAUCUUGUCAUGUGAAAAAUCUGUUAGAAGAAAGGGAAAACUUAAGUUGCUUCUAUCUAGCACAAACUAGAUUACGUUGAUACUUUAGGGUCUUUUCUAAACUCAUUUGACAAAUCAUCAUUUUGAUACUCCUGAGCCAAUGCCAGUUAAGCAAAAGGUUGAGGCAUAACAGCUAUGAGGCAUGAGGAGGAAUUUGGACACAGAGACGGACACUCCCAGAAGAAAUACAAUGUGAAGACACACAGGGAGAAGAUAGCCUUGUACCAGGAAGAUGCAUCUGCAGACCAACAAAUGCCAAGGAUUGCCAGAGAACACCAGAAACUGGAAGAAUCAAGGAAGGAUUCUCCCCUGGAGCCAUCAGAGACAACGUGACCUAAUAUCACCUGGAUUUCUCACUACUAGCUUUCAGAACUGUUUGUCUGCUGCUCACUGAUGCCCAAAUGGGCCCCUGCAGAGCGAUCUAUGGGCUGCAUCACCAGUUUCCACUUGUCUUUUGGCUUCCAGUUGUGUUUACACUCAUCCAAGAUUGAGAAUCUAGUAGAAAGUCAGAUGUAGUGUUUAUUUUUCUGAAUCCUUCUAUGCCGGGCACAGUCACAGACCUGUGGUUGACUAUUUUUUCAUGGCCAUGUAUCCUGCUGAGCUCUGGCAACAAUGUCCCCCAUUUACCCCUUCAGGGGGAAGUAACUGUUCCUUGCUCUUGCUAGUCUCAGUGUACUUUAUCAUUUAUUAUUAUUUCUCUUAUCCUUGUGCAAACAUUUGUAAAUAUUCUCUUCAUUAAACUAUCUUCUUGUAAACCUUUUGAAUGUACAGUCUAUUUUCUGCCAAGUCCAUGUUUGUUAAAUUGAGCAAACAAGUUUUGUCUUUAUAAACCACUAGAAUAAUUCAGUAGGAGAACAGGACAAUUGCCAUUUCAGCAUUUCGUCUUGCCUAUCUAUUGGCAGUUAGACUUAUUUAUUAAACAUUAGAAAAAACUCCUCUCAUUUUUGGCAAAUACUUGGCAUAAUUUACUGUUAAAAAUUCACAUAUAAAUAUGUGCAAUGUAAUUAAAAGGCAUUGCUCAGUCAUAAAAUAUUGCAGACAUGGUCCCUAGAGAGGCCUGAAGCUGGGUUGUCAAAAAUGUUCUAUCUGGAAAAGAUGCAUCAUUCCAUCUUGCAGAAAAUUAUUAGAAUGGCUCUGUGGUAAUUUUGUGCUAGUUAUACGUAAUUGAUGAUGAGACAGGCACAUAGCUGGUUUUCAGAAUAGGUAAAUGCUCUUGCUAGUCUACGUAGCUUUUUUGUGUCAUUUUAAAAAUAAAAAUAAAAAACAAUACUUCUGCUUUGGGCAAUAUUAUUUAUAUGAGCACAAGAUUUAGGGAGCAGGAAACACAUUUCUAUGAAGAAAACCAAUAUCCUUUGGUUUGGGUAGACCCGCUCUCACAAGAAGUUCUAAG
Callithrix jacchus (white-tufted-ear marmoset) is the source of this 2250-nucleotide long non-coding RNA. NCBI's taxonomy places the organism in Eukaryota, Metazoa, Chordata, Mammalia, Primates, Cebidae. The record is from Ensembl.